Molecule: ribosomal RNA, 254 nt
Filed under: uncultured bacterium
Lineage: Bacteria
Description: partial 16S ribosomal RNA
Rfam family: Bacterial small subunit ribosomal RNA
Source: RNAcentral
UACGUAGGGUGCGAGCGUUGUCCGGAAUUAUUGGGCGUAAAGAGCUUGUAGGCGGUUUGUCGCGUCUGCUGUGAAAUCUCAAGGCUCAACCUUGAGCUUGCAGUGGGUACGGGCAGACUAGAGUGUGGUAGGGGAGACUGGAAUUCCUGGUGUAGCGGUGGAAUGCGCAGAUAUCAGGAGGAACACCGGUGGCGAAGGCGGGUCUCUGGGCAGUAACUGACGCUGGAGGAGCGAAAGCGUGGGGAGCGAACAGG